This 253-nucleotide ribosomal RNA is filed under the name uncultured bacterium. RNAcentral describes it as "partial 16S ribosomal RNA". It matches the Rfam family "Bacterial small subunit ribosomal RNA", at positions 524 to 776 of the family's 1533-position model. The record is from RNAcentral.
UACAUAGGGGUCAAGCGUUGUCCGGAUUUAUUGGGCGUAAAGAGUACGUAGGCGGCUUUACAAGUCGGGUGUGAAAGCCCUGAGCUUAACUCAGGAACUGCAUUCGAUACUGCUGAGCUAGAGUAUGGAAGAGGGAAGUGGAAUUCCGGGUGUAGCGGUGAAAUGCGUAGAUAUCCGGAGGAACAUCAGUGGCGAAGGCGGCCACCUGGACAAAUACUGACGCUGAGGCACGAAAGCGUGGGGAGCGAACAGG